This 492-nucleotide ribosomal RNA is filed under the name uncultured bacterium. RNAcentral describes it as "bacterial SSU rRNA". It matches the Rfam family "Bacterial small subunit ribosomal RNA", at positions 22 to 518 of the family's 1533-position model. The record is from RNAcentral.
GGUCAGGACGAACGCUGGCGGCGUGCUUAACACAUGCAAGUCGAACGAGGGUUAUUGGAGAGCUUGCUCGAAGGUAACCCGAGUGGCGGACGGGUGAGUAACGCGUGAGCAACCUGUCUCACACAGGGGGAUAACGCAUCGAAAGAUGUGCUAAUACCGCAUGAGACCACGGAAGGACAUCCUUCAGGGGUCAAAGGAGGAAUCCGGUGUGAGGUGGGCUCGCGUCUGAUUAGAUAGUUGGUGAGGUAACGGCUCACCAAGUCAACGAUCAGUAGCCGACCUGAGAGGGUGAUCGGCCACAUUGGGACUGAGACACGGCCCAGACUCCUACGGGAGGCAGCAGUGGGGAAUAUUGGGCAAUGGGCGCAAGCCCUGACCCAGCAACGCCGCGUGAGGGAAGAAGGUUUUCGGAUUGUAAACCUCUGUCCUGUAUGAAGAGAAGGAGACGGUAGUACAGGAGGAAGCCCCGGCUAACUACGUGCCAGCCGCAGC